This 491-nucleotide ribosomal RNA is filed under the name uncultured bacterium. RNAcentral's name for it is "partial 16S ribosomal RNA". It matches the Rfam family "Bacterial small subunit ribosomal RNA", at positions 29 to 506 of the family's 1533-position model. The record is from RNAcentral.
AGUGAACGCUGGCGGUAGGCCUAACACAUGCAAGUCGAACGGCAGCACAGUAAGAGCUUGCUCUUACGGGUGGCGAGUGGCGGACGGGUGAGGAAUACAUCGGAAUCUACUUUUUCGUGGGGGAUAACGUAGGGAAACUUACGCUAAUACCGCAUACGACCUACGGGUGAAAGCAGGGGAUCUUCGGACCUUGCGCGAUUGAAUGAGCCGAUGUCGGAUUAGCUAGUUGGCGGGGUAAAGGCCCACCAAGGCGACGAUCCGUAGCUGGUCUGAGAGGAUGAUCCGCCACACUGGAACUGAGACACGGUCCAGACUCCGACGGGAGGCAGCAGUGGGGAAUAUGGGACAAUGGGCGCAAGCCUGAUCCAGCCAUACCGCGUGGGUGAAGAAGGCCUGCGGGUUGUAAAGCCCUUUUGUUGUGAAAGAAAAGCAGCAGGUUAAUACCCCGCUGUUCUGACGGUACCCAAAGAAUAAGCACCGGCUAACUUCGG